This 428-nucleotide ribosomal RNA is filed under the name Candidatus Williamhamiltonella defendens. RNAcentral's name for it is "bacterial SSU rRNA". It matches the Rfam family "Bacterial small subunit ribosomal RNA", at positions 32 to 450 of the family's 1533-position model. Lineage: Bacteria; Pseudomonadati; Pseudomonadota; Gammaproteobacteria; Enterobacterales; Enterobacteriaceae. The record is from RNAcentral.
AACGCUGGUGGCAGGCCUAACACAUGCAAGUCGAGCGGCAUCGAGUGAGCGCAGUUUACUGAGUUCAUGUCGGCGAGCGGCGGACGGGUGAGUAAAGUCUGGGAAUCUGGCCGAAGGAGGGGGAUAACUGCUGGAAACGGCAGCUAAUACCGCAUGAAGUCGCGAGACCAAAGUGGGGGACCUUCUGGCCUCACGCCUUCGGAUGAGCCCAGAUGAGAUUAGCUGGUAGGUAAGGUAAAGGCUUACCUAGGCGACGAUCUCUAGCGGGUCUGAGAGGAUAGCCCGCCACACUGGAACUGAGACACGGUCCAGACUCCUACGGGAGGCAGCAGUGGGGAAUAUUGCACAAUGGGCGAAAGCCUGAUGCAGCCAUGCCACGUGUGUGAAGAAGGCCUUCGGGUUGUAAAGCACUUUCAGCGAGGAGGAAG